CAGCCGCCGCGGGAAUACGUAGGUGGCAAGCGUUGUCCGGAAUUAUUGGGCGUAAAGGGCUCGCAGGCGGUUUCUUAAGUCUGAUGUGAAAGCCCCCGGCUCAACCGGGGGGGGUCAUUGGAAACUGGGAAACUUGAGUGCAGAAGAGGAGAGUGGAAUUCCACGUGUAGCGGUGAAAUGCGUAGAGAUGUGGAGGAACACCAGUGGCGAAGGCGACUCUCUGGUCUGUAACUGACGCUGAGGAGCGAAAGCGUGGGGAGCGAACAGGAUUAGAUACCCGAGUAGUCCCUGUCUCUUAUAC
RNAcentral lists this ribosomal RNA (301 nucleotides) under uncultured bacterium. Its description in RNAcentral is "partial 16S ribosomal RNA". It matches the Rfam family "Bacterial small subunit ribosomal RNA", at positions 509 to 807 of the family's 1533-position model. The record is from RNAcentral.